GGGUCCUUAGCUCAGUUGGGAGAGCGUCGGUAUGACAUGCCGAAGGUCGCAGGUUCGAACCCUGCAGGACCCACCA
RNAcentral lists this transfer RNA (76 nucleotides) under compost metagenome. Its description in RNAcentral is "tRNA-Val". It matches the Rfam family "tRNA". Rfam says of the family: Transfer RNA (tRNA) molecules are approximately 80 nucleotides in length. Their secondary structure includes four short double-helical elements and three loops (D, anti-codon, and T loops). The record is from RNAcentral.